This 855-nucleotide unclassified non-coding RNA is filed under the name Hevea brasiliensis (rubber tree). Lineage: Eukaryota; Viridiplantae; Streptophyta; Magnoliopsida; Malpighiales; Euphorbiaceae. The record is from RNAcentral.
GCGUCGAAGCGGAGACCUUGAUCUACGUUGGAAUGGAGAAUGUCUUCGGUAUCUUGCAGGAGAAGGUGACCUUCGACGUACUCGAGAGGUUGAUCUUCGCCUAUGCCUUGGUGGAGAAUGGGAUUGUCGAGGUGAAUGUUUCCUACGAGGUGAAACAGAACACUUUGGUGCAGAGCGAUAUGCCCUUUCAGAUGAAAGGGAGCGACGUCUCCUUUCUUCUGGAGAUCCGGAUGUACUUCGUGACCUAUGCCUUUCACCAGAGUAACUCCUCGAAUUGGAGAAUGACUUGCUGAUUGGCCUUGAUUUCCUGGGGGAGAGUGAAUGAUCUGCUGACCGUGGGGAUUUAGAGACCCUGUUUCUUACGCUUGAUCCGUUUCUCUCAACAGGAUCUAAAUUAUCCAUCAAGCGCACCUGAAGCUGUUGUUUUGGAGUUGGUUCCCGUGAAGUAUUUUUCUGUCUUAAAUCGCUGCCAUAAUCAUCCAUCUUCUUCCUUUUCUCUUGAUUCAGCUCCCUGUUGUCUCUCUCCUUUUUCUUCUGAAUCUCGUUUGCAAUUCGAUCCAUCUCAGCCUUAUUGUUUCUCAUUUCCUCUUCUUUGGCUUCUAGGAACUGUUGAGGAACACCACUGGCAUUGUUCUGUGCACUAAGUAGUAAUGCCCAAAGCUCUUUCAUGAAUUUUGCGGUGUUUCUUUCCAUGAAACCAGUAAGUGAAAUUUGAAGCUCCUUGCCAUUAGCUACCUUUCGUUCAAGAAGGCUAUAAAUAAAAUUGAUAAGCACUUCAUCUUCGAAACCAAUAAGCUCAGUAACUCGCUUAGCAAUCCAUGGUUUAAUUACAUCCAUCUUGACCUUUGUCAUAUC